GUGCUGCUGAAGAGUCCCAAACUGAGCUGACGAAACAGCUGUCCAGUAC
This 49-nucleotide non-coding RNA is filed under the name Trichobilharzia regenti. Lineage: Eukaryota; Metazoa; Platyhelminthes; Trematoda; Strigeidida; Schistosomatidae. The record is from RNAcentral.